RNAcentral lists this ribosomal RNA (465 nucleotides) under uncultured bacterium. RNAcentral describes it as "partial 16S ribosomal RNA". It matches the Rfam family "Bacterial small subunit ribosomal RNA", at positions 28 to 507 of the family's 1533-position model. The record is from RNAcentral.
GACGAACGCUGGCGGCGUGCUUAACACAUGCAAGUCGUACGGUAAGGCCCUUUCGGGGGUACACGAGUGGCGAACGGGUGAGUAACACGUGAGUAACCUGCCCACAACUUUGGGAUAACGCUAGGAAACUGGUGCUAAUACUGGAUAUGUGCUCCUGCCGCAUGGUGGGGGUUGGAAAGCUCCGGCGGUUGUGGAUGGACUCGCGGCCUAUCAGCUUGUUGGUGGGGUAGUGGCCUACCAAGGCGGCGACGGGUAGCCGGCCUGAGAGGGUGACCGGCCACAUUGGGACUGAGAUACGGCCCAGACUCCUACGGGAGGCAGCAGGGGGGAAGAUUGCACAAUGGGCGCAAGCCUGAUGCAGCAACGCCGCGGGCGGGAGGACGGCCUUCGGGUUGUAAACCGCUUUCAGCAGGGACGAAGCUUUUUGUGACGGUACCUGCAGAAGAAGCACCGGCUAACUACGUG